CCUACGGGAGACAGCAGUGAGGAAUAUUCGUCAAUGGACGAGAGUCUGAACCAGCCAAGUAGCGUGAAGGAUGACUGCCCUAUGGGUUGUAAACUUCUUUUAUAUGGGAAUAAAAUGUUCCACGUGUGGGAUUUUGUAUGUACCAUAUGAAUAAGGAUCGGCUAACGCCGUGCCAGCAGCCGCGGUAAUACGGAGGAUCCGAGCGUUAUCCGGAUUUAUUGGGUUUAAAGGGAGCGUAGGUGGAUUGUUAAGUCAGUUGGGAAAGUUUGCGGCUCAACCGUAAAAUUGCAGUUGAAACUGGCAGUCUUGAGUACAGUAGAGGUGGGCGGAAUUCGUGGUGUAGCGGUGAAAUGCUUAGAUAUCACGAAGAACUCCGAUUGCGAAGGCAGCUCACUGGACUGCAACUGACACUGAGGCUCGAAAGUGUGGGUAUCAAACAGGAUUAGAUACCCCAGUAGUC
This 460-nucleotide ribosomal RNA is filed under the name uncultured bacterium. Its description in RNAcentral is "partial 16S ribosomal RNA". It matches the Rfam family "Bacterial small subunit ribosomal RNA", at positions 338 to 795 of the family's 1533-position model. The record is from RNAcentral.